Molecule: transfer RNA, 69 nt
Filed under: Ceraesignum maximum
Lineage: Eukaryota; Metazoa; Mollusca; Gastropoda; Littorinimorpha; Vermetidae
Description: tRNA-Phe
Source: RNAcentral
UCUCUGGUAGCUUAAGUAAGAAGAGUGCAGCGCUGAAGGUGCUGUGGUAGAAAAUUAUUCUCUAGGGAA